AGCGAACGCUGGCGGCAGGCUUAACACAUGCAAGUCGAGCGGGCCCUUCGGGAUCAGCGGCGGACGGGUGAGUAACGCGUGGGAACGUGCCUUCUGGUUCGGAAUAACCCUGGGAAACUAGGGCUAAUACCGGAUACGCCCUUUUGGGGAAAGGUUUACUGCCGGAAGAUCGGCCCGCGUCUGAUUAGCUAGUUGGUGGGGUAACGGCCUACCAAGGCGACGAUCAGUAGCUGGUCUGAGAGGAUGAUCAGCCACACUGGGACUGAGACACGGCCCAGACUCCUACGGGAGGCAGCAGUGGGGAAUAUUGGACAAUGGGCGCAAGCCUGAUCCAGCCAUGCCGCGUGAGUGAUGAAGGCCUUAGGGUUGUAAAGCUCUUUUAUCCGGGACGAUAAUGACGGUACCGGAGGAAUAAGCCCCGGCUAACUUCGUGCCAGCAGCCGCGGUAA
RNAcentral lists this ribosomal RNA (449 nucleotides) under uncultured bacterium. RNAcentral describes it as "partial 16S ribosomal RNA". It matches the Rfam family "Bacterial small subunit ribosomal RNA", at positions 29 to 523 of the family's 1533-position model. The record is from RNAcentral.